UAGCUCAGUUGGUAGAGCAUCUGACUUUUAAUCAGAGGGUCGCUGGUUCGAACCCAGC
This 58-nucleotide transfer RNA is filed under the name Listeria monocytogenes. RNAcentral's name for it is "tRNA-Lys". It matches the Rfam family "tRNA", at positions 8 to 63 of the family's 71-position model. Rfam says of the family: Transfer RNA (tRNA) molecules are approximately 80 nucleotides in length. Their secondary structure includes four short double-helical elements and three loops (D, anti-codon, and T loops). Lineage: Bacteria; Bacillati; Bacillota; Bacilli; Caryophanales; Listeriaceae. The record is from RNAcentral.